UUUUGGUUCGGUAAUAAAUAUCUUAAAUAUUUAUGAUCAAUAAAUAAAAAUAUAAUUUAUUUUUUUUUAUUUCUACCAAAAAGUAAUCGUGUUAAACUUGGUUACCUAAAUCAAUUAUUAUUUAUUUGGUAGUUAUACAUUAUUUUCUAACUGGAUGUAAGAAAACCAAUGAUGCCAAGAAAGCCUUUUAAGCCAAAAAAAAAAAAAUAGACGUCUGAAACAAAUAGCUUAUGAUGUACCACUUCAACAAGUUUCUUCAUUUUCGGUUCCGUCAAGACAAAAUACAACAGCUGUUAUUAUUAGUGAUAACACUAAAAUUGAUUCUGAUCAAGAUGGUUCAACAGCGGCGAAAUGCUGACGGAAAAACAUAUUCGGACUGUUCUAGGAUAUAUUUUAACGGAUGACUUCUGUUGCAAAUUAUCCUGGAGUGGUCAAAAAAAACCAUAAAGGUAGAAGAUGUGUCAUUUGUGAAGUAUUUAAGAGAAACGGUGGCUGCUUCCAACUCACGAUGUUCCAUUGAUGAUUGCAAGCAAGCAAUUAUGUCUUGGCUGCAACAUGCGAGUGAUCGAGUCAAAAAAAUCUAGUGACAAACACAGCACUCAAUAAUUUUUCAGUUUUUUUUUUUUUCUUAAUGUUAAAGUGUCCUUAAUUAUUCUACU
Microplitis mediator is the source of this 659-nucleotide long non-coding RNA. RefSeq lists it as uncharacterized. Lineage: Eukaryota; Metazoa; Arthropoda; Insecta; Hymenoptera; Braconidae. The record is from RefSeq and is a predicted model, not a curated record. The transcript is spliced from 3 exons.